This 469-nucleotide ribosomal RNA is filed under the name uncultured bacterium. Its description in RNAcentral is "partial 16S ribosomal RNA". It matches the Rfam family "Bacterial small subunit ribosomal RNA", at positions 28 to 508 of the family's 1533-position model. The record is from RNAcentral.
GACGAACGCUGGCGGCGUGCUUAACACAUGCAAGUCGAACGAAAAGGCCCUGCUUUUGUGGGGUGCUCGAGUGGCGAACGGGUGAGUAACACGUGAGUAACCUGCCCUUGACUUUGGGAUAACUUCAGGAAACUGGGGCUAAUACCGGAUAGGAGCUCCUGCUGCAUGGUGGGGGUUGGAAAGUUUCGGCGGUUGGGGAUGGACUCGCGGCUUAUCAGCUUGUUGGUGGGGUAGUGGCUUACCAAGGCUUUGACGGGUAGCCGGCCUGAGAGGGUGACCGGACACAUUGGGACUGAGAUACGGCCCAGACUCCUACGGGAGGCAGCAGUGGGGAAUAUUGCACAAUGGGCGGAAGCCUGAUGCAGCAACGCCGCGUGCGGGAUGACGGCCUUCGGGUUGUAAACCGCUUUCGCCUGUGACGAAGCGUGAGUGACGGUAAUGGGUAAAGAAGCACCGGCUAACUACGUGC